CCAGGACUAUGUAUCGCCGACCCUUUCAUUUAUAUAUGCACAUCCGGAAGCAGUUAUAAUUCCCCAGACAAUAAAGCAAUGGGAUAGAAAAGCAUGCCAUACAUUUCUCUUACUGAAAAUUCACAACUACAUCUUUUUACAUGCAAACAAUGUCUGACAAGACAGGAUAGGAUUUCGGUCCUCAUCCGGGUCGUACUCGAUGUCAUACUCGGGGUCCUCCUCCACGUACUCCUCUUUGGGUUCCUCAACAGGGAUCUCCUCAUCAGAUUCAUGCUCCUUAGGCUCCUCAUCCAGGUCCUGAAAUGGUUAUUCAAUAACCACUGAGACCACGUCUCAGCAAGUUCUACUUCCUAAGACCCGAUUAGUAAACUAAUACACCUUAGGGCUGCCUAUGCACAACAUAAAUUAGAAGACUUACCUUAGCCUCAUAUUCUACCUGCAUAUUAGUACAGAUCAAAUAGGCACACAAGCAAUCACAUGACAGAUCGAAGCAUCGAUCUAAUCGACUUAGUCGAUUUCACAUCAGGAAGACCAAUCACGAUCAUCUCCCUUCAAUCAUUCAAUUCAACACAUCAAACCAAGGCAAUGAAUCACAUCAAGACACACUCAGAUCGAAUCAUCGAUCAAUCGACCUAGUCGAUUACAAGUCAGUCGAAUCAUUUCUAGGUCAUUAAUCCAACACCAAGCAAUUCCUUAGAUUUAGUGGCUUUACGGUCCCACCCGACCCUCUCGAGAACUAGUGGCUUUUCGGUCCCACCCGACCCUCUCGAGAACUAGUGGCUUUACGGUCCCACCCGACCCUCUCGAGAACUAGUGGCUUUACGGUCCCACCCGACCCUCUCGAGAACUAGUGGCUUUACGGUCCCACCUGACCCUCUCAAGAUGCCAAACUAUGUCACCGAGCCACGUGCAUUCUUCAGGAAGACAUACCGAGUCUUCGAGCCACGUGCAUUCUCUAAAGCUACCUUUUUGCCAAUGUGACAUAUCUAAUCACCGAGCCACGUGUCUUUCCCGAGUAACAUCCCAAUUUACUAGGCCACGUGCAUCCUCAAGGUGAUUUACCAACUCACUUUCGAUACUAACAACCGAUAUCCGACCGAUUCUCAAUCACAGUGCCAAAAUUGCAUUAUUUAAUAACAUACUUAAAAAUGCACCAUUAAAUCAAUUCGACACGAAUUAAAGAUCAAAUAAAUAAACGGACUGCUCCACGACCAUCAGCACGAAAUUCCGGUCACUGGCCAUCCCAGUUGAAUUUCCGGAAAAUAAAUAAUUAAAUAAUUAAUUUCGAAAAUUAAAUAAAUAAAUACAAUAAAUUCAAUUUAGCACAAUAUAAAGCUCAAUUAAAUAAACGGACUGCGCCACGAUCAUCAGCAUAAAAUCCCGGUCACUGGCCAUCCCAGUUGAAUUUCCAGAAAAUAAAUAAUUAAAUAAUUAAUUUCGAAAAUUAAUAUUUAAUUCCUAAAAAUACCACUUAGGCCCGAAUCGCUUAAUUAAUACCCGAUAAGGGACGGGAAAAAUCCCAAGAAGCAUCCAAUAAAUACUACAUGCAAUUCUCUAUCUAAUUACACUAAUUACAUCACUAAUAUACAAAGCAAUUAACUAAUAAUCCCUAAUCCAUUCUAAUCUAACAACCUAAUUACACUUAAUUAACACUAAUCAACCUUUAAGUAUAAUUAGCAAACUAAGAAGGCAUUAGUGAGUAAAACUCACUCAAAACAACGGGCUCGACGCGAGGAUCGACUUUCCUCAAAGCGGGCCGAGCAUCCGGGCUCGGGAAAACGGCCAAAACGGGCCAAAACCCUCUGCGAUACCCAUUUUCUACACUCACUGAUCGCUGCUGGAAGGGGUGGAUCCGGGGCUGAUUCGAGCUAGACAAGGCCGGUGGAGGGCGAGGGGACUCCGACGGGUCGAAGUGGCGGCGCACGGUGGCCGGAGGUGGCUGAACCGUGGCUUGUACUGGCCAAAAUGGAGCUGAACAGAGGCGGAACAGGGGUUGGACAGCAGCUCUGGAACAGCGAGCUAGGCGAGAGGGAGACCGAGCUAAGCGGAGAAGCGGCGGAGCGCACGGCGUCGCGCGGGCGGCGGUGCGACAGCUCCGGUCCAGCAACGCCAGCUGCUGCCCCAACUCCGGUGUCCUCCCAGAUCUGGAACCCCGAGCAACGAACGGAGGGGAAGACAGAGGUGCCGACGGCGGCUGGAAUGGGUGAGGGAGAGGCGGAGAUGAACGACGGAGCGGCGGAGCGGGUGAUGCGCCGGCGAGGACGGCUUGCGGCGUGAGGCGGUGUGGAGUAACGAUGGCAAGCUGCUGUCUCUGUUUCUGCUUCGUUCGAACCAGAGGAGGGAGAGGGGGCGGAGAUGCGCGGACGGCAGCACGGCGGCGAGCUCAGGUGCGUGAGCAGCUCCGGUGCUUGCAGACGUGCAACGACGACGGCGGAAGGCAGCGACUACAGCUCAGUCUUCGCUGGUCUUCGGCUCCCAUGGAGUUUUGAAGAAAAAGAAAAAGAUGGGGGAGGAGUUCGGUCGACGAAGGAGGAGAGAGGGGAGGAAGAAAAACUCAAUUUCCCUUUCUUUUCUCUCACUCUCUCUCUCUCUUAGGUUAGCCACACAUGGCCACCACCAGCUGUCUCCCACUCUUCAAUUUUUGACAAACAUGCCCCCUUCUAGAAGCAUUUAGGUAGGCUAAAGAGUUGGGUUUAUGGGCAUACGAAUUUUGCUAGGGUUUCUUUCCAAAUUGAACCUUAAUCCCACUUGAAUCAAAUCAAUUUGACCCCUAUAAUUUCAUUCAAUAUUUCAUCGAUCAAAUUUGUACUUUUUCUUAUCAGUAUAGCCCACUUGUAUCCCGAAUUCACAAUCUCUGGCUUCAACUGAACAAAACGGCCCUAUUUAUCCAGUCAAAUUAAAACCCAAAAAUCUGGAUGUCACAACUCUUCCCCUCUUAUAAAAAUUUCGUCCUCGAAAUUUAAACCUUUACCAAUCCUUAUACAAAAGGUGGGGGUAUUGUCGUCUCAUCGAGUCUCACUUUUUCCCACGCUAAUCCUUCGGUCUUGUGGUGUUGUCCGAUCAUUUUGACUAAGGAGGUCAUUUUGGUACACAAAUUCUGCUCUUUCUGAACCAACAACUGAACUGAGCUUCUCAUAUAUGACACUCCAUCAUUCACCUCUGAUCUCUUCUUCUCGACUCCCUAAUGAACCUUCGAACCUCAACGAUUCAAGCUUUCUGACAGUUCUGAGUAGUCUUUACUCUGACAUUGAUCUGACAACUGUAAACACCGAUUUCUGAGCUGACUUAGGACUGGUGAUUUUCUGAUUUCUGAUCUCAUCCCAACCGACUGAAAUCCUGUACACUUUGCUCUGCACUGAUUAAAAGGAAACUAUCUGAUUGAUCUGCUGAAACUGGGAACCUCUGGUCAAGAUCUAAUAUAACUCUAGCACUGAUCUUGUCAACCGCAAUCACUGACUACUGUACUGACUUUGGCCUGAAAUCUUCUUCACUUUCUUUUCACCACUGAAAUUCUGUACCCUCUUCUAUAACAUUGCUUAAGAAAGAACCCUCUGAAAGCUUUGCCAAAUUGAUAAUCUCUGAGCUAGAUUCAAAAUAUAAUUUAUCCCCGGCACUCCAUGCCGGCGAAUUAUCUGAUGCACACAUACUUCGGUAUACCCACUCUGAUAAGAUAGAAUCUUCAAUUUCUGAAAUCGAACUUAGAUUGGCGGUUAAUUUCAUUCCGACAUGCUUUUAGUGUGACCUAGGCUACUGGGUAGUGUUCAGAGCUUUUUAGGACAAUUGACCCGUGGUCGAUUUUCUUCGAGCAACAAUAAACCCACUCGACACAUUGACGACUCUCAAUUGUCGUGAAAAUCUCAAAUUCAAAUACGGACACAGGGUACCAAACCGACAGUAAAGUCAAAUUAGUGCCAGUCGACGAGAGUUUUCCAAUUUAGUGGGGUCACCCACGAUUGGUCACUUAUCUCAGUCGAGCCAACCUAUCUCCGAUCUUAAUUCGAUUUUUAACUGUGCCGUAAUGACCUCUAAAGAUGAGCACGGUCAAGAAGUCGAUUCAUGGUCGAAUUCUCAGUCUAUCUGCCUUAAAGUUCUUAAUAGCCUACCCAGCUAGUCUAGUUAUCUCGUGAGUGGCCAACUUAGAGAAAAACACUGUAAUUGCGUCGAUGAAAUGCCCAAUUUAUCUAAUCGAAAUCAAAUAUCGAAAUCUGGAUGUUACACACUCAAAACAAGAUCUAUUCGUACUGUACCAAAGUGGAUCAACUCCAUCUAUCGAUCGACCACUAUUCUCAAAUGGUAUCAGUAAUCCCCUGAAUCCUUAGUAAGACUAUCACAAUGUUCCAUUGUGAUAUAUUUCCAUUUCCACUUGGGACUCUCAAGUGAUGGUAAAAAUUCUCCCGAUUCACAUUACCGAGCUUCCACUUACUGACACUUUUGACACUUGCAACCUACUCAGCAAUAUCUAUCUUCAUAUCAGCUUACUAAUCUAGUUGAUGCCGAUUCUGAUUUACUUGCACCAUCUGGUCAAAACUGCAAUACUAUAGUGAACUUCCGACAAGAUCUUUUCCCUGAGUGCUACACUGUCAAGGGUAUUCAAUCACUCAUGGAACCUGAACUUUCCAUUCUCAUAAAUCUUAAAGUCAGAUUCCUUCUUACCAGUAUCCUCUUAUAAGAUCUUCUGAACAUCUUUGUCUGCCAACUAGGCGCCGAUUCUAACUUGAACAUUUGGUUCAAUCUUGAGGGUGGCUAUAAAAUUCAAAAGGUAGCCUGCCUCAAUUUUGAAAACCAAGCUUCGAAGUCUUUUCAAGUAAAGUCUACACUUUAGCCAGUCUAUGCACGAUUGAAGACUCUCGGCUCAACACAUUAAUGACUCAUUUCGUUCCUCCAAGGUGAUACCCAAUAUCACUAUUUUAGUUCUGCCAAAAUUCUAGUUCACGACACCGCUUCGUAUUCCACUUAUUGGGUCUCAACUGGCGGAACGGUAAUGCAACAAUCUUCUCAUGUUGUAUCAAUGCAUACCUCGCCUCUACAAGACACAUCACUAAAGAUUCCAUGCUUUCCAGGGCCAAAUGAAAAGUUUAGCACAAGUACGAUAGUCAGUCCUUACUUAAGCUCUGGAAACUAUCCUCGUACUUGUCUAUGCUGAUGAAUUUCUCUUCUUUCUUAAGAGAUCAAGCCCCCGAUGGUACUGAUGCUGAAAAUUCUUUCACAAACCUUCUGUAGUAAUCUGUCCAAUCACCACAGCUUCUGAUCUCUGACAUUGAUGUCGGUCUCGGUCCAUAAACAACUGAUUCAAUCUUGGAUGGGUCCAUGAAAAUUCCUUAACUUGUAAUCACAUGACCAUUCUUAAGGGCUCUCAUGAUCCUCAUCACUUAAUGAACACCCUAGAAUGUUACUACACCACAUGAUCACCAUUGAUCUAGAUAUUCUUUGAAUACUCGGUUUGUCAAGUCUAUGACAACGGCUGGAGCGUUCGUCAAAUCAAAUGGCUUUACAUUAUUCUCACAGGGGCUAAAUCAAGUGCGAAGUGUUGUCUUCAGUAUAACCUCCUUCCUAGUUCUCAACUAAAGAUAACCUGUCGUCAAGCCGAUCCUUGAAGACAUCAACACUCUUUAUAACAAAUUACCCAAUUAAGUUGACAAUGGUUGAUGCAUGAUUGCAAUGAACCAUUUUCAUUUCUCUUUCCACAAAACUGAUGUUCCUUAAAGCGAUGCACUAAUAUGUAUGAAUUCCUCAUUCAUCAAUCUUCACAUCCGUACCUUCGGUUCUAUCCAUUCAAACAACAAUAACUAGUGAUUCCCCUUUCUUCCACUUAUUUCAAUAAACUAAAGUUCUCCAAACUUCAUCAAAACUCUACUACGAUACUCUGAUAGAAUUUUCCCCAAAACAUUCUUCCUCUGUCUAAUGCCAGGUCGGUUCCAUUUUUUAUCUUCUCACCAUACCUGGAUACUGAAUUCAUCCAGGUUUCUUCCACAAUUUCGACACCUAUCAGGUGAGUCUUCUACCUCUUGUCACGUGCUAGGAUGCACUAUUUCUUAUACAAGAGAUCUAUCCCAGAAAUUCCACAGUGCGUUCUAUGGCGCACUUCUCCUAAACUGUUCUACCAAUAGUGACAGCAGUAACUGUUGUCAAGAUUCCAUCUUCUUAUGCGGAUACACCAUAAAUCACUGUCCGUACUGGCGACACUUACCACAAUUUCUUGCCCUCAGAAUACACAAGACUAAUCUAUAUCAUCUUCCAUAGAACAACAUGUUACGUUUGUCUAAAUGCUAACCUGACUAUUCCACCAUUCCUAUUGAGUGGAACAAAAUACUCUUCCCUAGUCUUUUCCCAUGACCGAAUUCCCAGUCUGCUUGCGCUAAAUCUUGACUCAAAAAUCGAAAUUUGUUCCCUGACUAUCCUUCCAGGUUGGACCUCAACAAAGGUAGCAACAACAACAACUUGAUCCUGAUCUUACCGGCUCAUACAGAUCCCAAGAAACACUUGCAUCAAAUCAAUCUUAUCGGGCUUAGGAUCAAUCACUGCUGCUACACUAGUACCAACCUGCGAUGGCACUCUUACGCUCAAGCUGGCCAGAGUCAACACUCUGCCUUCCGAAUCCACAACGAUUAAAAGCAAUCGAUUCACACAUAACAAACAAUUCUACCAAUCAGCUAUCAAACACAUGCACCAGUCAUGAAUUUAAAGGCCUUUCCUACUACUAUCCCAUAGGUCAUCGCACCUUAUCACUCCAAUACUUAACCAUUGCUCUAAUACCACAAAAAGGGGAUGUCACGCCCCGACACUCAGAGCACGCACACAUCCCUUACUUUUGGUCGAUUUUAAAAUGCGAUAUCCCAGGACUAUGUAUCGCCGACCCUUUCAUUUAUAUAUGCACAUGUGGAAGCAGUUAUAAUUCCCCAGACAAUAAAGCAAUGGGAUAGAAAAGCAGGCCAUACAUUUCUCUUACUGAAAAUUCACAACUACAUCUUUUUACAUGCAAACAAGGUCUGACAAGACAGGAUAGGAUUUCGGUCCUCAUCCGGGUCGUACUCGAUGUCAUACUCGGGGUCCUCCUCCAUGUACUCCUCUUUGGGUUCCUCAACAGGGAUCUCCUCAUCAGAUUCAUGCUCCUUAGGCUCCUCAUCCAGGUCCUGAAAUGGUUAUUCAAUAACCACUGAGACCACGUCUCAGCAAGUUCUACUUCCUAAGACCCGAUUAGUAAACUAAUACACCUUAGGGCUGCCUAUGCACAACAUGAAUUAAAAGACUUACCUUAGCCUCAUAUUCCACCUGCAUAUUAGUACAGAUCAAAUAGGUACACAAGCAAUCACAUCACAGAUCGAAGCAUCGAUCUAAUCGACUUAGUCGAUUUCACAUCAGGAAGACCAAUCACGAUCAUCUCCCUUCAAUCAUUC
This 7394-nucleotide long non-coding RNA is filed under the name Eucalyptus grandis. RNAcentral describes it as "long non-coding RNA (EGRA_LNC002305)". The record is from RNAcentral. Lineage: Eukaryota; Viridiplantae; Streptophyta; Magnoliopsida; Myrtales; Myrtaceae.